AAAAAUUUUCAACGGAGGAUAUCUUGGUUCCCAUAUCGAUGAAGAACGCAGCCAAAUGCGAUACGCAAUGCGAAUUGCAGAAUUCCGCGAGUCAUCAGAUCUUUGAACGCAAGUGGCGC
Molecule: ribosomal RNA, 119 nt
Filed under: Mesanophrys chesapeakensis
Lineage: Eukaryota; Ciliophora; Oligohymenophorea; Philasterida; Orchitophryidae
Also listed under: 3 other names
Description: 5.8S ribosomal RNA
Rfam family: 5.8S ribosomal RNA
About the family: 5.8S ribosomal RNA (5.8S rRNA) is a component of the large subunit of the eukaryotic ribosome. It is transcribed by RNA polymerase I as part of the 45S precursor that also contains 18S and 28S rRNA. Functionally, it is thought that 5.8S rRNA may be involved in ribosome translocation.
Source: RNAcentral